RNAcentral lists this ribosomal RNA (376 nucleotides) under uncultured bacterium. RNAcentral's name for it is "bacterial SSU rRNA". It matches the Rfam family "Bacterial small subunit ribosomal RNA", at positions 524 to 898 of the family's 1533-position model. The record is from RNAcentral.
GACAGAGGUGCCGAGCGUUAGGCGGAAUCACUGGGCUUAAAGCGUGUGUAGGCGGGUCGUUAAGUGUCUUGUGAAAUCCCACCGCUCAACGGUGGAACUGCUGGGCAUACUGGCGAUCUUGAGCCACCUAGGGGCGAGCGGAACAAGCGGUGGAGCGGUGAAAUGCGUAGAUAUCGCUUGGAACGCCGACGGUGAAAACAGCUCGCUGGGGGUGUGCUGACGCUGAGACACGAAAGCCAGGGGAGCGAACGGGAUUAGAUACCCCGGUAGUCCUGGCCCUAAACGAUGUCCACUAGGUCACGGCCCCUCUGACGGGGUCGUGGCCGAAGCAAAAGUGCUAAGUGGACCGCCUGGGAAGUACGGUCGCAAGGCUAAA